UGGUUUUCUUUCCUGUAAGUACCAUCUCUGUAUUGGAAUGAUUAGAACAGAAGCGAGACAACCUGCAAAUGUUAAGGAAAGACUGGAAGACAAUGAUGGACAAUUUCAAGAGAAGUCAUGUGGAAGAAAGGAAAGUCUUCGUUCAUUUUCUAGAGAAGCUUGGACAAAAACCAAGGGUGGAAGCUAUGAAGACUUAGCUUUUGGCUGCAGACAACUGCUCUAGAACACCAUAAGUCAUUCUUUGCAAAAGCUGAAAUACUAUUCACUAGAAGCAACACAAUGCACAGAUGCAGAAUUGCUGUGUACGGUGGUGGCGGUCAAGGAGCCUGAUUCCUGUCUUACUGUAUACCAAUAACAUGAAGAAUAUGUGUGGAACACUUAAGGAUGACUGACUGCAGGAGACGAGAGUAAAUACCAUGAGUGUUUACUGCUCCAACAAUUCUCGAAUGGAUCUGGACCACAUUUAACUGGGAUCACAGCAGUUGUUCCUUUGGAGUGGCCUGGUGAUGAUUACAACAGAAGCAUUCCUUGGGCCCACACUUGAUAGACACACAUAUGGUUUGAUCAUUGCAGAUGGCUAACAACUCUCCUUCAGACACGGUGAUGUGGUGUUUUAAGAGUAAAACUAUCUAAAAUCAGAAUUAUGUCCCUGUGGAAAUAAUAAAGCAUUUAUUCAGAAAAGGAAA
Molecule: non-coding RNA, 686 nt
Organism: Rattus norvegicus (Norway rat)
Lineage: Eukaryota; Metazoa; Chordata; Mammalia; Rodentia; Muridae
Source: RefSeq, a predicted model, not a curated record